AGUGAACGUUGGCGGCGUGGAUUAGGCAUGCAAGUCGAGCGAGAACCGUAGCAAUACGGGGACAGCGGCGAAAGGGACAGUAAUGUGUAGGUACCUACCUCCGGGUUCGGGAUAGCUGCGGGAAACUGCAGGUAAUACCGAAUAACGUCUCCGGACCAAAGGUGUGAUUCCACCUGGAGAGGGGCCUGCAUCCUAUUAGCUUGUUGGCGGGGUAACGGCCCACCAAGGCGGCGAUGGGUAGCGGGUGUGAGAGCACGACCCGCGUCAUUGGGACUGAGACACUGCCCAGACACCUACGGGUGGCUGCAGUCGUGAAUCUUCGGCAAUGGGCGCAAGCUUGACCGAGCGACGCCGCGUGCGGGAUGAAGGCCUUCGGGUUGUAAACCGCUGUCGUAGAGGAGGAAAUGCAGGGGGGUUCUCCCCUCUGUUUGACCUAUUCUAGGAGGAAGUACGGGCUAAGUUCGUGCCAGCCGCCGCGGUAA
This 482-nucleotide ribosomal RNA is filed under the name uncultured bacterium. RNAcentral's name for it is "partial 16S ribosomal RNA". It matches the Rfam family "Bacterial small subunit ribosomal RNA", at positions 28 to 523 of the family's 1533-position model. The record is from RNAcentral.